Molecule: ribosomal RNA, 423 nt
Filed under: uncultured bacterium
Lineage: Bacteria
Description: bacterial SSU rRNA
Rfam family: Bacterial small subunit ribosomal RNA
Source: RNAcentral
UGGAAGUUAAGAACUUAGUGGCGGACGGGUGAGUAACGCGUGGGUAACCUGCCUCAUACAGGGGGAUAACAGUUAGAAAUGACUGCUAACACCGCAUAAUAUAGUGAGACCGCAUGAUUUUGCUAUCAAAUAUUUAUAGGUAUGAGAUGGGCCCGCGUCUGAUUAGCUAGUUGGUGGGGUAAAAGCCUACCAAGGCGACGAUCAGUAGCCGGCUUGAGAGAGUGACCGGCCACAUUGGGACUGAGACACGGCCCAAACUCCUACGGGAGGCAGCAGUGGGGAAUAUUGGACAAUGGGGGAAACCCUGAUCCAGCCGACGCCGCGUGAGUGAAGAAGUAUUUCGGUAUGUAAAGCUCUAUCAGCAGGGAAGAUAAUGACAGUACCUGACUAAGAAGCCCCGGCUAACUACGUGCCAGCCGCCGC